Molecule: ribosomal RNA, 395 nt
Filed under: uncultured bacterium
Lineage: Bacteria
Description: bacterial SSU rRNA
Rfam family: Bacterial small subunit ribosomal RNA
Source: RNAcentral
GACGAACGCCGGCGGCGUGCUUAACACAUGCAAGUCGAGCGGUAAGGCCCUUUCGGGGGUACACGAGCGGCGAACGGGUGAGUAACACGUGGGUGACCUGCCCUUAGCUCUGGGAUAAGCCUGGGAAACUGGGUCUAAUACCGGAUAUGACUCCAUGACGCAUGUUGUGGGGUGGAAAGCCUUGUGCGGCUAGGGAUGGGCCUGCGGCCUAUCAGCUUGUUGGUGGGGUGAUGGCCACCAAGGCGACGACGGGUAGCCGGCCUGAGAGGGCGACCGGCCACACUGGGACUGAGACACGGCCCAGACUCCUACGGGAGGCAGCAGUGGGGAAUCUUGCGCAAUGGGCGAAAGCCUGACGCAGCGACGCCGCGUGGGGAUGACGGCCUCGGUUGUAA